GAUUGCCUCAGUAGCGGCGAGUGAAGCGGCAAGAGCUCAGAUUUGAAAUCGUGCUUUGCGGCACGAGUUGUAGAUUGCAGGUUGGAGUCUGUGUGGAAGGCGGUGUCCAAGUCCCUUGGAACAGGGCGCCCAGGAGGGUGAGAGCCCCGUGGGAUGCCGGCGGAAGCAGUGAGGCCCUUCUGACGAGUCGAGUUGUUUGGGAAUGCAGCUCCAAGCGGGUGGUAAAUUCCAUCUAAGGCUAAAUACUGGCGAGAGACCGAUAGCGAACAAGUACUGUGAAGGAAAGAUGAAAAGCACUUUGAAAAGAGAGUGAAACAGCACGUGAAAUUGUUGAAAGGGAAGGGUAUUGCGCGAGAGAAAAGGGGAUUGCGCACCGCUGCCUCUCGUGGGCGGCGCUCUGGGCUUUCCC
This 409-nucleotide ribosomal RNA is filed under the name Pichia kudriavzevii. RNAcentral's name for it is "partial 26S ribosomal RNA". It matches the Rfam family "Eukaryotic large subunit ribosomal RNA", at positions 73 to 492 of the family's 3401-position model. RNAcentral also lists the same sequence under 1 other name. The record is from RNAcentral. Lineage: Eukaryota; Fungi; Ascomycota; Pichiomycetes; Pichiales; Pichiaceae.